This is a long non-coding RNA of Folsomia candida, 898 nucleotides long. RefSeq lists it as uncharacterized. The transcript has 2 exons. NCBI's taxonomy places the organism in Eukaryota, Metazoa, Arthropoda, Collembola, Entomobryomorpha, Isotomidae. The record is from RefSeq and is a predicted model, not a curated record.
UAAAUCUUGAACUAAAUCCUUAUUCCCAUUCGCAGCAUUAUUGGCUUCAAUUUUCUUGACAUUUUUCAUUUUACUCUUUCCAACUGUCAAUUUGUUGAGUAGAAGCAGAAUAAAAUCAGUUUUUAGUUUUCCAACGACAUUUUCCAAGCGUUCCAAAUCGUCUUUGGAUUCUUUGGAGUGGGCGUGAGACUCUUGGUUCCGAAUCAUUGAACAAUUGUUAAAUUUUGGUGGAAUAUUUGGUGAUUUCUUCCAGAUUGGGAUUGAUUUGUUAGUUUGUUGGUGGUGGUCUGAGUCAUCGUGGAUAAAAAGUUUUCCAUCCGAUUCUUCAUCCCAUUUGAAUUUACAAUUUGACAUGUACUUUGCGCAAUGUUGGUUUAUCCGGUCGGGCAAGGAAUUCAUCAUUUUGUUCAAUUUUGACUCCAAUUGUUCCACGCGGAUUUGAAGGGCUUGCAAUUUCUCCAGCUUUUCAAUCCUGAUUUCUAAAUCAUCUUGAUUUGGUUUUUGAUGGAGGAUUUGAGCAGAUUUUGAUAAUCGAGGAGUUUCUUGUUUUUGAGAAGUAGUUGCGAGUUUAGCUGACACUGGUUGAAUAUUUUCACUAAAAGAAGACGCAAUUUUGAGCCAACGCUGCUCUGGAUCCAUUUUUGUAGUGUUUUUUUUCUAUAAAAUUUUUCUAUGUGGACUAUUAAAAACUUUGAAAAUUGUGUAUUUCUAUAGUGUUUAUUUUAAAUUAUAGUUUACACGUUCUAAUUUUGAGGUACAAAUUUUCAAAAAUAAUUGCUAAAAUUUAGAGAUCCGCCUUUUCCAAUUUUCCGAUUUCUUGUAAAAAUGCAGCAAAUACUUUUGUCUAUAGAAAAAAAAUCACAGUCCAAAAUAAAUAAAUUAAAAUCCAUCAAAAUAA